Molecule: ribosomal RNA, 637 nt
Filed under: Martinezella tropici
Lineage: Bacteria; Pseudomonadati; Pseudomonadota; Alphaproteobacteria; Hyphomicrobiales; Rhizobiaceae
Description: bacterial SSU rRNA
Rfam family: Bacterial small subunit ribosomal RNA
Source: RNAcentral
GUCGAGCGCCCCGCAGGGGAGCGGCAGACGGGUGAGUAACGCGUGGGAAUCUACCUUUUGCUACGGAAUAACGCAGGGAAACUUGUGCUAAUACCGUAUGUGUCCUUCGGGAGAAAGAUUUAUCGGCAAGAGAUGAGCCCGCGUUGGAUUAGCUAGUUGGUGGGGUAAAGGCCUACCAAGGCGACGAUCCAUAGCUGGUCUGAGAGGAUGAUCAGCCACAUUGGGACUGAGACACGGCCCAAACUCCUACGGGAGGCAGCAGUGGGGAAUAUUGGACAAUGGGCGCAAGCCUGAUCCAGCCAUGCCGCGUGAGUGAUGAAGGCCCUAGGGUUGUAAAGCUCUUUCACCGGAGAAGAUAAUGACGGUAUCCGGAGAAGAAGCCCCGGCUAACUUCGUGCCAGCAGCCGCGGUAAUACGAAGGGGGCUAGCGUUGUUCGGAAUUACUGGGCGUAAAGCGCACGUAGGCGGAUCGAUCAGUCAGGGGUGAAAUCCCAGGGCUCAACCCUGGAACUGCCUUUGAUACUGUCGAUCUGGAGUAUGGAAGAGGUGAGUGGAAUUCCGAGUGUAGAGGUGAAAUUCGUAGAUAUUCGGAGGAACACCAGUGGCGAAGGCGGCUCACUGGUCCAUUACUGACGCU